UACAAAUGUGAAGAAUGUGACAAAGGUUUUAAUCGAAGACCAUUGUUUACUGACCACCAGAUAAUUCAUACUGGAGAGAAGCCCUACAAAUGUAAAGAAUGUGGCAAAAGUUUUAAUCAAAGAUCAUAUCUUAAAGAUCACCAGAAAAUUCAUACUGGAGAGAAGCCCCACAAAUGUACAGAAUGUGACAAAGCUUUUGUUCACAAAUCACUGCUUACUCGACACCAGAGAAUGCAUACUGGAGAGAAGCCCUACAAUUGUGAAGAAUGUGGCAAAGGUUUUGUUCAAAAAUCGCUGCUUACUCAACACCAUGGAAUUCAUACUGGAGAGAAACCCUACAAGUGUGGAGAAUGUGGCAGAGGUUUUUAUUACAAAUCAAACCUUAUUCAACACCAAGGAAUUCAUACUGGAAAGAAGCCCUACAAAUGUGGAGAAUGUGGCAAAGGUUUUAAACAAAGAUCAUCUUUGAAAGAUCACCAGGGUAUUCAUACUGGAGAGAAGCACUACAAAUGUGAAGAAUGUGGCAGAAGUUUUUAUUACAGGUCAAACCUUACACAACAUCAAAGAAUUCAUACUAAAAAGAAGCCCUACAAAUGUGAAGAAUGUGGCAAAGUUUUUGAACAAAGAUUAUAUUUUAAAGAGCACCAGAGAAUUCAUACUGGAGAGAAGCCUUACAAAUGUCAAGAAUGUGGAAAAGCUUUUAAACGAACAGAUAAUCUUUCUCUCCACCAGAGAAUUCAUACUGGAGAGAAGCCCUACAAGUGUGAAGAAUGUGGCAGAGCUUUUGUUCAUAAAUCACUGCUUACUCAACACCAGAGACUUCAUACUGGAGAGAAGCCUUACAAUUGUAAAGAAUGUGGCAAAGCUUUUCGUCAAAAAGAACAUCUUAUUUGCCACCAGAGAAUUCAUACUGGAGAGAAGCCGUACAAAUGUGAAGAAUGUGGCAAAGAUUUUAAUACAAAAUCAUUGCUUACUGAACACCAGAGAAUUCAUACUGGAGAGCGGCCCUACAAAUGUGAACAAUGUGGCAAAGCUUUUGUUAAAAAAUCACCACUUACUCGACACCAGAGGACCCAUACUGGAGAGAAGCCCUAUAGAUGUGAAGAAUGUGGCAAAGAUUUUAAGCAAAUAUCAGCUCUUAAAGGACACCAGAGAAUCCAUACAGGACAGAAGCCCUAUGCAUGUGAAGAAUGCGGCAAAGCUUUUUAUGACAGAUCAAACCUUGGUCAACACCAGAGAAUUCACACUGGAGAGAAGCCCUACACGUGUGCACAGUGUGGCAGAGCUUUUGGGCACAAGUCACUGCUUACUCGACACCAGAGAAUUCAUACAGGAGAGAAACCCUACAGUUGUCAAGAAUGUGGCAAAGCUUUUAGUCAAAAAGAAAAGCUUAUUUACCAUCAAAGACUUCAUACUGGAGAGAAACCAUACACAUGUGAAGAAUGUGGACAGGCUUUUAUUCAAAAAUCACAGCUUACUCAACACCAGAGAAUUCAUAGUGAAAAGAAUUCCUACACUUGUGAAGAAUGCGGCAAAGGUUUUUAUCACAGAUCAAGCCUUACUCAACACCAAAGAAUUCAUACUGGAAAGAAGCCCUACAAAUGAAACAUUCUCCCAAUGCCUGAAAGGAUGGUUCAACCCUUAUUCUACACAGGAGGAAUCAACAGAGAGAAAUAGAAAUUUUUUAAAAAGUGGCAAAAUUUCCAACAGUUGUUCAUUCACACUGUAUUCAGCCCCUGAGAAUUCAUACUUUUGAGAGAGAAUACAAGUGGAAAGAUAUCACAAGGCUUUUAGCCAUUGUUCAAAUAUACUAAAAACUGGAGGAUUCAUAAUGCAUU
RNAcentral lists this long non-coding RNA (1838 nucleotides) under Marmota monax (woodchuck). The record is from RNAcentral. Lineage: Eukaryota; Metazoa; Chordata; Mammalia; Rodentia; Sciuridae.